This is a non-coding RNA of Coprinopsis marcescibilis, 92 nucleotides long. The record is from the annotation of a GenBank genome assembly. NCBI's taxonomy places the organism in Eukaryota, Fungi, Basidiomycota, Agaricomycetes, Agaricales, Psathyrellaceae.
UGCCCCAUGGCUGAGUUGGUUACAGCGUCCGACUGUUAAGAAUCUGUUCUCAGCUCAUCGGAAGGUCGUGAGUUCGAGCCUCACUGGGGCAG